UCUUGUAGGGAGACUCGCCUUAAAACAAUUGGCAGCCGGCCUACUGGUAUUCGGAGCGCAGCACAAAUUUGCGCUUGCCAAAUCCAUGGGGCGGCAUCCAUCAAGCCUUUGUUGUUGUACGACAAAUCCACAUUUUGACCUCGGAUCAGGUAGGGAUACCCGCUGAACUUAAGCAUAUCAAUAAGCGGAGGAAAAGAAACCAACAGGGAUUGCCCUAGUAACGGCGAGUGAAGCGGCAACAGCUCAAAUUUGAAAUCUGGCUCUUUCAGAGUCCGAGUUGUAAUUUGCAGAGGGCGCUUUGGCUUUGGCAGCGGUCCAAGUUCCUUGGAACAGGACGUCACAGAGGGUGAGAAUCCCGUACGUGGUCGCUAGCUAUUGCCGUGUAAAGCCCCUUCGACGAGUCGAGUUGUUUGGGAAUGCAGCUCUAAAUGGGAGGUAAAUUUCUUCUAAAGCUAAAUAUUGGCCAGAGACCGAUAGCGCACAAGUAGAGUGAUCGAAAGAUGAAAAGCACUUUGGAAAGAGAGUCAAACAGCACGUGAAAUUGUUGAAAGGGAAGCGCUUGCAGCCAGACUUGCUUGCAGUUGCUCAUCCAGGCUUUUGCCCGGUGCACUCUUCUGCAGGCAGGCCAGCAUCAGUUUGGGCGGUGGGAUAAAGGUCUCUGUCAUGUACCUCUCUUCGGGGAGGCCUUAUAGGGGAGGCGACAUACCACCAGCCUAGACUGAGGUCCGCGCAUCUGCUAGGAUGCUGGCGUAAUGGCUGUAAGCGGCCCGUCUUGAAACACGGACCAAGGAGUCUAACAUCUAUGCGAGUGUUUGGGUGUCAAGCCCGAGCGCGUAAUGAAAGUGAACGGAGGUGGGAACCCGCAAGGGUGCACCAUCGACCGAUCCUGAAGUUUACGGAAGGAUUUGAGUAAGAGCAUGGCUGUUGGGACCCGAAAGAUGGUGAACUAUGCUUGAAUAGGGUGAAGCCAGAGGAAACUCUGGUGGAGGCUCGCAGCGGUUCUGACGUGCAAAUCGAUCGUCAAAUUUGGGCAUAGGGGCGAAAGACUAAUCGAACUAUCUAGUAGCUGGUUCCUGCCGAAGUUUCCCUCAGGAUAGCAGUAACGUAUUCAGUUUUAUGAGGUAAAGCGAAUGAUUAGAGGCAUGGGGGUUGAAACAACCUUCACCUAUUCUCAAACUUUAAAUAUGUAAGAAGCCCUUUGUUACUUAAUUGAACGCGGGCAUUUGAAUGAAACGUUAUUAGUGGGCCAUUUUUGGUAA
This 1259-nucleotide ribosomal RNA is filed under the name Exserohilum minor. Its description in RNAcentral is "eukaryotic LSU rRNA". The stretch from base 136 to 1259 matches the Rfam family "Eukaryotic large subunit ribosomal RNA", at positions 1 to 1143 of the family's 3401-position model. Lineage: Eukaryota; Fungi; Ascomycota; Dothideomycetes; Pleosporales; Pleosporaceae. The record is from RNAcentral.